AUUUAUUAAAUUUGCAAUAGAAACCAUGUCUGUUUUUGCCCAAUCAAAGCAAGGUAUUUUUAAAAUUCAGCCCAAAACACUGUUAGCUUAUUGUUAUCGUAGGCUUGGGCGGUUUACCGGUUUUUCGUGUUUUUUUUCGGUUUUAUUUUCAAACCGGUUUUUUCGGUUUAGCUUUUACAAAAACCGGAAAACCGUCAUUACGUAAUUGUUUACUGUCAUCGCCUGAAACUCGAUCUUAAUUCUCCAAACAUGACACCAAUUAAACUCAAUUACGUGACACUAGAUACAAAUUCUAUUCUUUUUCCAUAAAGUCGGUAAGAACUGAAGAGGUAUAAGUUUUCAAAUGCGUUCUUGACCCUUUUAUUUUAAAACUGAAGUCGUUUUAGGUUACCUUUGCACAAUUUUGCGUUUUGUCAUGUACUGUUCGUUUGCUUAUGACAGAAAAAUACUACAAUUCCUCCUCAUACAGUUGAAAUACAAAUUAAAGGGAAAAAAACGGUUUUUCGGUUUUACCGGUUUAGAAUCAGACGGUUUUUCGGUUUUGAUUUUAAGCAAAACCGCCCAAGCCUAUGUUAUUGCUUAUUAAAUACAAGCUGCUGGGUACUCUAGGAGUAAGGGUAUGUUUGUGGCUUAUGUGCUGUGAUUUGUCAAGUUAAUAUAAUUUAGUGUUUGCACAAUUAUUAAAACAUUGUCAACUCAAUAAUAGUCAUUGACAAUGUUUGGCAUUAUUAUUAGUCUGGAAAAUCUGGCAUAGAUGGAUUUCCUGUGGGGGGAGGGAGGGUACUCCCUGAAAAAUUAUUGAUUUAUCAAUCAUUCCCCAGAGAUUUAAAUUAAUUAAAUGCUUAGGGGCCAUUCACAAAGGAUGUCCGGCCAAAUGAUGGAUUUUCAGACCCCCUCCCUCCUUGUCCGGCAUUGUCCGAAUUAGUGACCCCCCCCCUCUCCCCUCCCUCCGGACAUCCACCAUGCCUCGAAAAACUCACACAACCAUGUAUAUGUCAAGAGUAAAAAACUUUUUACUUUUAGAACUUUUUUAUAACUAUAAAUGUGAAUACAAAAACAUAUAAAUUACUAAUUAAAACAAAAUCUAGUAUUAACCGCAUAGUCAAAAUGCCAAUUUCACAAUGGGAAGGAGAGUUCAAAAGAGAGGAAAAAGAAAUUUGUUUUUGAAUUUUUUUAAAAUUUCGGACAUCUGUAUUGCUAAAAAAAACCCUCCCCCCCCUAUGUCUGAGUUUGUCCUGAUUUUCCAAACCCCCCUCCCCCCCUCGGCUCGGACAUCCUUUGUGAAUGGACCCUUGUUGGAUUAAAGGAUAGUAAUGUGAUUAAAAUAAGGAUUUUGAACUAAAUAAGACCAAAAAGAAGCCAACCUAAAUAAGACCAAAAUGACCUGCCCCCUUUCCCCAAUGGGGUAAGCAACUUGACAAUUAGCAACCGUCUAUUAAAUUUGACAAUCACAGAUACAGCCAUUAAAACAUACAUUUGUCUUGAUUUAAGUCUUUAUAUUAUGUUUUUAAAAACUUAUAAUACAAGGUGUGUCAUGAAUGUACAUAAGGUGUGCCAUGUCUAGCCUGAGUUCAGUGUAUCUUGACUUAAGGUGGCUCGAUAUGGAAAUUCGUACCCAUCAUGAAAAUUGUGUGACCAUUUUGGGAUGGGAGCUGCUCAAUGAAAACUGUGUUUGCUUAUUUCUGCAUCAUUAAAAAGAUGGGCCAUAUUUCAAUAUAAUGUAAUUUGUGUGAUAAAACUAACACGAAAUGGCAGGGGACAUUUCAAGCUCUAGAUUAACAAAAUAAAGGUUUGAUGCGUAUUCCAACUUAGCAACUAUGUUUUAACUUAAACAGACCAGUUAACCAAGGUCUCGUUUGAUCCGGGCUUCAAGGUGUAUUUUCAAUCUUCAUUUUUACGAUCGGCGGAUCCGUAAACUAAAAUGACAAAUUAAAAUGUCUUGUGUCUGGCCUAAUGGCGACGGAUAAUUAUGGCAGUAUCAUGUUUUAACUUGUAACUAAGCUAAAAAGUAAAAACAUGAUAUUCGAGAAUGUCAAACAGUUCUAAAAAUACUGUAUCGAGCCGCUUUAAAGUCAAAGUUAUCAUGUAAAUUUAAAGUUUGAUUUAAUGUACAAUGUAGUAAAAUUACUGUGAUAACGUUACAGGUAUGUAAUUAAAAAUGGCAUUUUUGUCUGUUUGUUAUUAAAAACAUACUGUGGGUCAUAUUUGGUG
Non-coding RNA from Paramuricea clavata, 2211 nucleotides. NCBI's taxonomy places the organism in Eukaryota, Metazoa, Cnidaria, Anthozoa, Malacalcyonacea, Plexauridae. The record is from the annotation of a GenBank genome assembly.